AGAGUUUGAUCCUGGCUCAGGACGAACGCUGGCGGCGUGCUUAACACAUGCAAGUCGAACGGUUGAGAGGUGAGAGUUGAGAGGUUAGAAGUGAGAUUAAGGAGCAAUUCGGCAAGGCCGAAUUGCAACCAUUAGAAUCUCACAUCCAACUUCUCACAUCUCACUUCUCGAUAGUGGCGGACGGGUGAGUAACGCGUGGAUAACCUGCCUGAAUGACCGGGACAACACCGGGAAACUGGUGCUAAUACCGGAUACGCUCUUAGAUGCGCAUGCAAAUAAGAGGAAAGGAGCAAUCCGCAUACAGAUGGGUCCGCGUCCCAUUAGCUAGUUGGUGGUGUAAAGGGUCACCAAGGCGACGAUGGGUAGCCGGCCUGAGAGGGUGGACGGCCACACUGGAACUGAGACACGGUCCAGACUCCUACGGGAGGCAGCAGUGGGGAAUCUUCCGCAAUGGGCGCAAGCCUGACGGAGCAACGCCGCGUGAAUGAAGAAGGCCUUCGGGUUGUAAAAUUCUGUCUUCAGGGAAGAAACAAAUGACGGUACCUGAGGAGGAAGCCCCGGCUAACUACGUGCCAGCAGCCGCGGUAAAACGUAGGGGGCGAGCGUUGUCCGGAAUUACUGGGCGUAAAGGGCGUGUAGGCGGUCAUUUAAGUCAGAGGUGAAAACUACCGGCUUAACCGGUAGCCUGCCUUUGAAACUGGGUGACUUGAGGGCAGGAGAGGGGAGUGGAAUUCCCAGUGUAGCGGUGAAAUGCGUAGAUAUUGGGAGGAACACCAGUGGCGAAGGCGGCUCUCUGGCCUAACCCUGACGCUGAGGCGCGAAAGCGUGGGGAUCAAACAGGAUUAGAUACCCUGGUAGUCCACGCCGUAAACGAUGGGUGCUAGGUGUAGGAGGUAUCGACCCCUUCUGUGCCGUAGUUAACACAAUAAGCACCCCGCCUGGGGAGUACGGCCGCAAGGUUAAAACUCAAAGGAAUUGACGGGGGCCCGCACAAGCGGUGGAGCAUGUGGUUUAAUUCGACGCAACGCGAAGAACCUUACCAGGGUUUGACAUCCCCUGACAGCUGCUGAAAGGCAGGGUUCUAUCUUCGGAUAGACAGGGAGACAGGUGGUGCAUGGUUGUCGUCAGCUCGUGUCGUGAGAUGUUGGGUUAAGUCCCGCAACGAGCGCAACCCCU
This 1176-nucleotide ribosomal RNA is filed under the name Firmicutes bacterium ADurb.Bin373. Its description in RNAcentral is "bacterial SSU rRNA". It matches the Rfam family "Bacterial small subunit ribosomal RNA", at positions 8 to 1106 of the family's 1533-position model. The record is from RNAcentral. Lineage: Bacteria; Bacillati; Bacillota.